RNAcentral lists this ribosomal RNA (253 nucleotides) under uncultured bacterium. RNAcentral describes it as "partial 16S ribosomal RNA". It matches the Rfam family "Bacterial small subunit ribosomal RNA", at positions 524 to 776 of the family's 1533-position model. The record is from RNAcentral.
UACAGAGGGGGCAAGCGUUGUUCGGAAUUACUGGGCGUAAAGGGCGCGUAGGCGGCCUGUUAAGUCGAACGUGAAAUCCCCGGGCUCAACCCGGGAACUGCGUCCGAUACUGGCAGGCUUGAAUCCGGGAGAGGGAUGCGGAAUUCCAGGUGUAGCGGUGAAAUGCGUAGAUAUCAGGAGGAACACCAACGGCGAAGGCAGCACUCUGGGCCGGUACUGACGCUGAGGAGCGAAAGCGUGGGGAGCAAACAGG